This 520-nucleotide ribosomal RNA is filed under the name uncultured bacterium. Its description in RNAcentral is "partial 16S ribosomal RNA". It matches the Rfam family "Bacterial small subunit ribosomal RNA", at positions 28 to 523 of the family's 1533-position model. The record is from RNAcentral.
GACGAACGCUGGUGGCGUGCUUAACACAUGCAAGUCGAACGGACUAUUUCAUUUCGGUGGGAUGGUUAGUGGCGAACGGGUGAGUAACGCGUAGACAACCUACCUCUUAGAUGGGGACAACAGUUCGAAAGGACUGCUAAUACCGAAUGUUGUAUAUUUUCCACAUGGAAGAUACAUUAAAGAUGGCCUCUAUUUAUAAGCUAUCGCUCAAAGAUGGGUCUGCGUCUGAUUAGCUAGUUGGUGGGGUAACGGCCUACCAAGGCGACGAUCAGUAGCCGGUCUGAGAGGAUGAACGGCCACAUUGGGACUGAGACACGGCCCAGACUCCUACGGGAGGCAGCAGUGGGGAAUCUUCCACAAUGGACGAAAGUCUGAUGGAGCAACGCCGCGUGAGUGAAGAAGGGUUUCAGCUCGUAAAGCUCUGUUGUCGGGGACGAAUGUGCAGUAUUUGAAUAAAGUACUGCAAUGACGGUACCUGACGAGGAAGCCACGGCUAACUACGUGCCAGCAGCCGCGGUAA